This 199-nucleotide unclassified non-coding RNA is filed under the name uncultured fungus. RNAcentral describes it as "sequence contains ITS1". Lineage: Eukaryota; Fungi. The record is from RNAcentral.
UUAACCAUUGCAUAUGGACUCUGACCACAUUCGAAAACAGGCGUUUGGGCAUCCCCUCGGCAGGCACGGGCCAGCCGCAGCCGGCGGUCCGCAGACCGGCCUGCCGAAGCAACAGGUGGUAAGGGUUCGCAGUGGGUGGGAGAUCGACCCGGACGGGUCAGCCUCGUUAAUGAUCCUUCCGCAGGUUCACCUACGGAAA